CAGGAUGAACGCUAGCGACAGGCUUAACACAUGCAAGUCGAGGGGUAACAGGGUAGCAAUACCGCUGACGACCGGCGCACGGGUGAGUAACGCGUAUGCAACCUGCCUAUAACUGGGGAAUAGCUCCCUGAAAGGGGAAUUAACACCGCAUAACACUAUUGAUUCGCAUGGAUUGGUAGUUAAAUGUAGCGAUACAGGUUAUAGAUGGGCAUGCGUGACAUUAGCUAGUUGGUGAGGUAACGGCUCACCAAGUCUUCGAUGGAUAGGGGUUCUGAGAGGAAGGUCCCCCACAUUGGUACUGAGACACGGACCAAACUCCUACGGGAGGCAGCAGUGAGGAAUAUUGGUCAAUGGGCGAGAGCCUGAACCAGCCAAGUAGCGUGAAGGAUAGAAGGUCCUAUGGAUUGUAAACUUCUUUUAUAGUAGAAUAAAGUGAUCCACGUGUGGAUUUUUGUAUGUAUACUAUGAAUAAGGAUCGGCUAACUCCGUGCCAGCAGCGGC
Molecule: ribosomal RNA, 501 nt
Filed under: uncultured bacterium
Lineage: Bacteria
Description: bacterial SSU rRNA
Rfam family: Bacterial small subunit ribosomal RNA
Source: RNAcentral